UUUUAUAUGAUCACUUUUAAGACUAAGUUUGAAAUAUCAUAGUUGUUUUAAUGAAACUAUUCUGAUUUUUAUUCCACUCUUUUGUAAGACUUAGUUGUCAAUUCCAUUUUACAUUUGUAUUCAUUGUACAUCCAAGUUUUUGAUUAAAUACUGAAUUAACAGUUCACAAAGGAUAAUUGGAAGUGCAGAAUGUUAUUCAUGAUUAAUUCAUUUUCCACAUCAAAUGACAGACCUACCAUCAAUGUUGUUCUACAUGAUAACAGACACACAAUAACAUAAAGUGUUUAACUAGGUGGUUUACAAUAUGUGUGAGGAUGGAUGUUUGACAGAGUACGACAUAGCUAAAAAUAUAACGGAAUAUUUGAAAUAAUCGUCAUACAGGCGAUGUAGUCUACAGAUUCAUAAACUGGUAGUUUUCAAUGCAACAAAGCUGCAUGCUGAUCAGAUCUACCAUCUAACACAGACAGAAUGGCAGGUAAAAUGCAGCAAACAUUUAUUCAUUUGUCUUUUCUGCCAAAGGCAACAAUCAAGGUGCUACUUUACAGUUCAUAUUGUACUUGAUUUGGUGAUGGAAGAGGGUCUAGAUCAGUCUGUGCUCUUGUCAACUUCCUACACUAGCCUGAUCCCAGAACAGUUUGUUGAUAAGAGAUCAGAAACAGACUGACACCCAGGAUAACUCUACACUAGCCUGAUCCCAGAACAGUUUGUUGGUAAGAGAUCAGAAACAGACUGCCACCCAGGAUAACUCUACUCUAGCCUGAUCCCAGAACAGUUUGUUGGUAAGAGAUCAGAAACAGACUGACACCCAGGAUAACUCUACACUAGCCUGAUCCCAGAACAGUUUGUUGGUAAGAGAGCAGAAACAGACUGACACCCAGGAUAACUCUACACUAGCCUGAUCCCAGAACAGUUUGUUGGUAAGAGAUCAGAAACAGACUGCCACCCAGGAUAACUCUACUCUAGCCUGAUCCCAGAACAGUUUGUUGGUAAGAGAUCAGAAACAGACUGACACCCAGGAUAACUCUACACUAGCCUGAUCCCAGAACAGUUUGUUGGUAAGAGAGCAGAAACAGACUGACACCCAGGAUAACUCUACACUAGCCUGAUCCCAGAACAGUUUGUUGGUAAGAGAGCAGAAACAGACUGACACCCAGGAUAACUCUAAACACUGUUAGAUGUUUGUUCCAUGUAAGUUUCCACACAACAGUUAUAGCCUGAUUAGCAUUAUUAGGGAAAUGUGCAACUAGUGUGAGAGAAACAGACUUCAGUUAAAAUGGUAAGGAUGGAAAUAGAACUAAAAUAUUGACUUUGCAAGAGGAUUUGACCCUGUAGGGUAAAUCAAUUAACAAAUGGGCCCUUUUCAAAACAAUAAGCAGAAGGAGAAGAAACAAAAUACAAGUAAAUAAUUACGCACAAAAAAAAACUAUAGCAAUAUACAGCUUGUUACUCCACACAACACAGAGAAAUACAUGUUGUGACAUUAGGAAAAAGGUCGAUAAUACAACAGUUUCUUCAUAUAGAGCUGAAUACUGUCAAAAAUUAGACAUGAAAAGUUAUGAAACUGCAUGUAAGAAAUGUACAGUAUCAGUCAAAAGGUUGGACACACCUACUCAUUCCAGGUUUGUUUUAAAUCUACAUUGUAGAAUAAUAGUGAAGACAAACUAUGAAAUAACACAUAUGGAAUCACGUAGUAACCAAAAAAGUGUUAAACAAAUCAAAAUAUUUUAUAUUUGAGAUUCUCCAAGAAGCCACCCUUUGCCUUGACAGCUUUUCUUGAAUAAAAACUCUAGUUUCCAAACUAUUGACUGGUACUGAAUAUGUUCUUUUUUUGAUAGUUAUGUUUUAAAAGCUCAGUAUUCCAGAAAGAAGAUGGUCACGUCACUGGUCGAUAUUUGGUCAAUUUAGUCAUACAAAUUAAUGACACAUGAAAUGAUGUGCAUUCUCAUGCAUAACUGGCCACAGUGAGAAAAUGUUCAUAUAACACACAUACGUCAGACUGCAGAUGCAUCCAUGGCUGAGUCCCCAUUCUCCUCCCUUCUCCCGAAGUGUGCACUUGCACACUUUCUCGUAACGAUUUCACAAAGGUUGAAUCCAGCCAACGCUUACACCACUCCUACGCUUUUAAAUCCAUAAAAAAGGGGAGUGUGCAAGUGCACACUUCUGGACAAGGGUGGAUAACCAGAAUGUAGCCCAAGCCAACUUUCACCCUCUGUCCAUCCACCCUCAGUGUACCAGCUCAAGCUGGCUGGCGGAGAAGGGCAGCACCCCGCUGACGUAGUAAGCGAUGCCCAGAGAGAGCAAGGCGAUGACCACCAGCAGUAGCAGCACCCUCCAGAAGCCCAGGUCCUCAACAAACUCCUGCCAGGUGGUCCUGAAGCUGGACAGGACUCCCUCCCUGUUCUGGAGGUUGGGGUUCAGCAGGGAGUGGCUCUCCAUUGCACUGACAGGAAGAGAAAGAAGUAGCCCAGUGUCAGCUUACAUGCCAUUACUUGAUUUUAAAUAGGAGAGAUAGACAGGAGAGACCAAUAGGAG
This is a long non-coding RNA of Oncorhynchus tshawytscha (Chinook salmon), 2532 nucleotides long. Lineage: Eukaryota; Metazoa; Chordata; Actinopteri; Salmoniformes; Salmonidae. The record is from Ensembl.